Molecule: ribosomal RNA, 556 nt
Filed under: Vibrio sp.
Lineage: Bacteria; Pseudomonadati; Pseudomonadota; Gammaproteobacteria; Vibrionales; Vibrionaceae
Description: bacterial SSU rRNA
Rfam family: Bacterial small subunit ribosomal RNA
Source: RNAcentral
ACGUUAGCGACAGAAGAAGCACCGGCUAACUCCGUGCCAGCAGCCGCGGUAAUACGGAGGGUGCGAGCGUUAAUCGGAAUUACUGGGCGUAAAGCGCAUGCAGGUGGUUUGUUAAGUCAGAUGUGAAAGCCCGGGGCUCAACCUCGGAAUAGCAUUUGAAACUGGCAGACUAGAGUACUGUAGAGGGGGGUAGAAUUUCAGGUGUAGCGGUGAAAUGCGUAGAGAUCUGAAGGAAUACCGGUGGCGAAGGCGGCCCCCUGGACAGAUACUGACACUCAGAUGCGAAAGCGUGGGGAGCAAACAGGAUUAGAUACCCUGGUAGUCCACGCCGUAAACGAUGUCUACUUGGAGGUUGUGGCCUUGAGCCGUGGCUUUCGGAGCUAACGCGUUAAGUAGACCGCCUGGGGAGUACGGUCGCAAGAUUAAAACUCAAAUGAAUUGACGGGGGCCCGCACAAGCGGUGGAGCAUGUGGUUUAAUUCGAUGCAACGCGAAGAACCUUACCUACUCUUGACAUCCAGAGAACUUUCCAGAGAUGGAUUGGUGCCUUCGGGAAC